RNA transcript from Scomber japonicus (chub mackerel), 3432 nucleotides. It is a transcript of the gene named solute carrier family 31 member 2, with no coding region annotated. The transcript is spliced from 5 exons. Lineage: Eukaryota; Metazoa; Chordata; Actinopteri; Scombriformes; Scombridae. The record is from RefSeq and is a predicted model, not a curated record.
GGCUACAUUCAUCAGCUAAAGUUAGCCAACUAUUGCUUUUAAUGCUAAUGUUUAUCAGUUAGACUUAGCUACACGCACUCUACUCUGUGUGGACGGUGACAUUUGGUUUUCCAGACGAUUGGAAUAAUAUUUAAAUCACUAUUUCGACUUUAUUCGCAGCUGCUGAAAAACUGCACUAACCGUCAGCCAUCUGUGGCGGCGUCAUUCCGCUAUAGUGAGAGUCGCUGGGUCAGCUGCGACUAAUAAUGUGGUACAGUGGAGAGAAAUGACUCGCACUUCACUGCACCGUAACAGCAACUGCAAGUUAGCCCGGCUGUGAGCCGCCCAUGAUGGAGAAACGGAGUCAGUAACCCGUGAAACUAUCGUGUUUGCCUCCAAGUUCAAGAUGAUGUCCAUGACCUUUGAGGUGUCGAGUAGCGUUACGCUACUGUUUGACUUCUGGGAUGUGCACGGGCCUGCAGGUAUGGUGCUGUCAGUGUUCGUGGUGUUGCUGCUGACAGUCUUCUACGAGUUGCUCAAAGUGUGGAGGGUGUGGUUGAGCUGUCACUCCAAGCUGGCUGAGCCGCAGUCACCGUACGCCAUCACUCAGUCCCACCUCACCGAAAGCAGCUCCGUGCUAGAGAGCAGCCCCUCCGAAUCCUCGCUGACCCCCAUAGAUUCACCAAGUCCAGCUCCCAGCACCAGGAAUAGCUGGUUGCUGCACGGUAUCCAGACAGUGCUCCACAUGCUGCAGGUGUCUCUGGGCUACAUGCUGAUGCUGUGCGUCAUGUCCUACAACACGUGGAUCUUCCUCGGGGUCAUCGUGGGCUCCGUCCUCGGCUAUUUCAUCUCUUUCCCUCUGCUGGGUCAGAUGUGACGGCAUGGACAGAGAUCAAAGGCGGCUGGUUUUUGGUCUCUUGAUAUAGAAGGAUCGCGUACCCUGGAAUCUAAAUGGAAAACCACUUGAGGGACGAUAGCUACAGUUAAUAUUUGGGAAUUACUGUUGGAGCAUGAAAGGGUGAACUCCCUCUAUUCUACGCUAAUGCACAAAACUCAUCAGGAUGUGGAAGCUGACGUUUUCAUGCAAAAAAAUCAUCACCUGUUUCAGUCUUCAAUCUCUGAUUUCUCAGUUUGGGACUCAGGUUUUUUAGAUUUCACAUACAUAAUUUCUGGAAAUACAAAGAUAUCAGGCCUUGACCAAAGGGACGCGUAUGAUUUCAUUAUUACCACUAGCUGGUUCUUCUGUGUUAAACCCAAACAAGUGAGUAAUGUGUGUCCUACAAGGGAGCAGAGGAAUGCCUGCCUGUAACUCUUGACUUUUCUAUUAUUUAUCCCAAAACUGUAGAUUUAAAGAGGUGAAACGUCCAUACCAGUAGAGCUAAGCGAUGGAUUAAGUAGUUGUCUGUAGUUUGGGGAAUAUUCUUAUUCUGAUUUCAUGUUUUUGUGGUCAACACUAACAGACAUUUAUAGCUACUAACAGCUCACUGUAUUUUUAGGAGGUAUGACACUACAGGUGAUUCAAAGAUAGAAAAGGGUAUCUCUGACAAUGUUGCUGAAACUCAUUCAAUUUUCUGUGUAGCUGCAGUGUUAUGAAGUGAAACUUAAAAGCAGAACAGCACUUUAGAGAUUUACAGUCAGAGGUCAUAAGAUGGUUUGAGGAACUGACUCAAUCAUAUGAUUUGUGCUUGUAAACCCUGCUGAUGUGUCAUCUAACUGACCAGAGUCAUUCUCACACGCCCAUCAGAGGAAGGUGAACGUCGGUCAUGUGGUUCUGUGGCAAUCAUUUACAAACCACAAAUGUACAAGGAAGAAGAAAUGUUUCAGUGCCUUGAAACUGAGUUUUCAAAUGUGUUUUGUGAGGAUUUAAAACUCUAUUUUUGAACUGAUUCUGACUAUAAAAAAAACAAAAAUAUUCAAAUAUGUGUAAUUUUCUCAGUGAUGGUUUUCUGUCAAAUGAAAAUCUUGAAAGACUUUGAUGACAAUAAUAAAGAAUAAUUGAUGAAAUAUUUUUAUUCAUCCAUAUAUUUUUAAAAUAUAUUUCAGGACAAUAAAACUACUAAAAAUACAAGUCAAAGAGAGCUGCUGACAACCAGAGAGGUUUUAUAAUAAAUAAACAGGAGAAGGUGACAGUGGUCCUCGAUUAGAAGCAAUGGUUCUUAGGUAUAGCUCUAAAGGAAACAGACAUAACAGAUUAAACAAAUGUGCCUUUCAUACAGAGGCAAUAGGUGAUUUCACAACAGGAGACUGACUCAUAAAAAUGAAAGGAGAUUCUCAGCAAGUUCCAACAGAAGUUAAAAUAAGUCACCCAUUAAAAACAUGGAGUAGCACUUUAAUUUACAAGUAAUGAAGUUUCAUAUAAUUUCCUAGAAAGAAACUGAGUCGUAACUGCAAAGUCACAGGAAGGUUCCUAGGGAAGACAUUUGGCACAAUAAUUGGGAGACAUAAAAAAUGUAAUCUAACAAAUGUAUUUGUUUACCUAAAAUUGUCAUUCUUUUUCUCUCCAUAUUGUAAAUGGAAGACAGUUACCUCUAUGUUCUUUGCAUAUACAACACCUAUUGUAUAUCAUGUCAACUGGUUGGCUUUGGUCCAGACUGCAAUAUCUCAACAGCUUAGAUUGGUUGCAGUGAAAUUCGUGAGUAGUGACUUUGUUCAUCCUUUGUUAUCACUUUGGCAAUCCCCUAACUUUUCAUUUAACAACACCGUCUGGUCUACAUUUUAACUUGUCGAAUACUCUCAGAGUUAAUGACGUUACUUAGCCUUAGCUGUACUUUGUGUUUAGCAUUCAUUAGCAUAUGUUAGCAUGCAAACACACUAAACUUAGAUGGUUAACAUGGUAAUCAUUAUACCUGCUUAGCAUCAGUGUGUAAGCAAUGUAAUUGUAAGCAUAAUGCAUGCUGACGUCAUUCGGUGUAAUGCUGAAGUGAAGGUCUAAGGAUCUAGGAUGCUGUCUGUUGUACAGAUUAUAAAGCUUUUAGGUACAUUUGUGAUUUCUGGUUUUGGGAUAUAUAAAUAAAACUGACUUGACCUAACAGUGUGGUGGUAAACUUAUAUUAUAACUUGUAUACUAAUUCAAUUUAAUUGCUACCGUAAAUACAGUAGAGAGCCUUUCAGUUAGUGGAUGGCAUUUCUGCUGAACAUGCUAAAUGCUACAUUUGUCAACAGCCAAGCGUACAAUAUGAAGCAUUCCUUUAAAGGAAAACACCUGCUUAUAUGUUUAUUAAUGCAACUGAACUACUGAAACUCAAAUAUCUGUAUCAGAUCAUUGCUUUUUUUCAUUCUUUUUUUCCCCUUUCACUUGCCUUAUACUUAGCAACAACUUACAUACACAUACUUCUCUCCAGGAAACUUCCUAGGAAACUAUACAGACACAUAAAAUAAAGCGUCACCAAAAUUGUGGAUUUUCCCAACAGAGUGUAGACUGAUGUAUUUCAGGAAUUAAAGUAACAUUAACAG